AGUCAAGAUGAGAAUUCUAAGGUGAGCGAGCGAACUCUCGUUAAGGAACUCGGCAAAAUGACCCCGUAACUUCGGGAGAAGGGGUGCUCUUUAGGGUUAACGCCCAGAAGAGCCGCAGUGAAUAGGCCCAAGCGACUGUUUAUCAAAAACACAGGUCUCUGCUAAACCGUAAGGUGAUGUAUAGGGGCUGACGCCUGCCCGGUGCUGGAAGGUUAAGAGGAGUGGUUAGCUUCUGCGAAGCUACGAAUCGAAGCCCCAGUAAACGGCGGCCGUAACUAUAACGGUCCUAAGGUAGCGAAAUUCCUUGUCGGGUAAGUUCCGACCCGCACGAAAGGCGUAACGAUUUGGGCACUGUCUCAACGAGAGACUCGGUGAAAUCAUAGUACCUGUGAAGAUGCAGGUUACCCGCGACAGGACGGAAAGACCCCGUGGAGCUUUACUGUAGCCUGAUAUUGAAAUUCGGCACAGCUUGUACAGGAUAGGUAGGAGCCUUUGAAACGUGAGCGCUAGCUUACGUGGAGGCGCUGGUGGGAUACUACCCUAGCUGUGUUGGCUUUCUAACCCGCACCACUUAUCGUGGUGGGAGACAGUGUCAGGCGGGCAGUUUGACUGGGGCGGUCGCCUCCUAAAAGGUAACGGAGGCGCUCAAAGGUUCCCUCAGAAUGGUUGGAAAUCAUUCAUAGAGUGUAAAGGCAUAAGGGAGCUUGACUGCGAGACCUACAAGUCGAGCAGGGUCGAAAGACGGACUUAGUGAUCCGGUGGUUCCGCAUGGAAGGGCCAUCGCUCAACGGAUAAAAGCUACCCCGGGGAUAACAGGCUUAUCUCCCCCAAGAGUUCACAUCGACGGGGAGGUUUGGCACCUCGAUGUCGGCUCAUCGCAUCCUGGGGCUGUAGUCGGUCCCAAGGGUUGGGCUGUUCGCCCAUUAAAGCGGUACGCGAGCUGGGUUCAGAACGUCGUGAGACAGUUCGGUCCCUAUCCGUCGUGGGCGUAGGAAAUUUGAGAGGAGCUGUCCUUAGUACGAGAGGACCGGGAUGGACAUACCUCUGGUGUACCAGUUGUCGUGCCAACGGCAUAGCUGGGUAGCUAUGUGUGGACGGGAUAAGUGCUGAAAGCAUCUAAGCAUGAAGCCCCCCUCAAGAUGAGAUUUCCCAACUUCGGUUAUAAGAUCCCUCAAAGAUGAUGAGGUUAAUAGGUUCGAGGUGGAAGCAUGGUGACAUGUGGAGCUGACGAAUACUAAUCGAUCGAAGACUUAAUCAA
Molecule: ribosomal RNA, 1258 nt
Filed under: Staphylococcus aureus
Lineage: Bacteria; Bacillati; Bacillota; Bacilli; Caryophanales; Staphylococcaceae
Description: partial 23S ribosomal RNA
Rfam family: Bacterial large subunit ribosomal RNA
Source: RNAcentral